UUUUUUUUUUUUUUUUUUUUUUUUUAGCUGCUCAGAAAUCCAUUCUAUACAUUUUUGGAUGAAAAGAAAAAAAGUUUUUUGAAGAGAUUGCCAAUUCAGAGGUUUAUCAUGGUGGUAUGAGCCACGGACUACAGGGCAACUGGAUUAAUAAUUCCUCGGAGAAAACGUACCAUAAUGAAUUACACAGCAUCUUCUGGCUCUGAAAGGGAGGACACAUUUCCAUUCAGAGGCUAAGAGACAAGCAGUGAAAGGGAAAAAUUCCAACCCCAGGCAAAGAGCAGCAGGUGACACUACAUUUGUGUGAAACGAGUCCAGAAACAGAUAUAUAUAUAUAUAUAUAUAUCCUUUCCAAGAAAAGCCACCUCCUGAGGAAUGCUACUUAGGGUUGAGGUGACCAUUCAGAAGCAGAACGUACAUAAAAUUUAUCUUACACUGAAAACCUCCUGUUUUGCUCUAAAUAUCCAAUUAGAUUAAUAACCCACUUCAUAUAUUGAUCCUUUUUGGGUAAUAAUGAUUUUUAGUUUGUCCAUUAUAGCUGGUUUACAGUAGUCUGUCAAUUUCCUGCUGUACAGCAAGGCGACCCAGUCACACAUACAUGUAUACAUUCUUUUUUCUCACAUUAUCAUGCUCCAUCAUAAGUGACUUAGAUAUAGUUCCCAGGGCUAUACAGCAGGAUCUCAUUGCGUCUCCUCAAAUAUCGAUCUUUCAUCCUUACGCUACUUCCCCUAUCUUACUAAACAGCUCUUGCAAGUUUUAUAAGAUGUCAUAAACUGGAAUACCUGCCUACAGAGAACAUCACUUUAGUUGCCUCCUUUGUUGUCAUUACAGCAUCAGAAAGGCAUAAAGAGAGUGUUUCUCUGCGGGACAAAGAGGCACUGCCAUCAAUUAAGGCAAACAAAGGAUGAAUGACCAUUUGAUAACUAUCUCUUUCCAAAGUACCCAAAACUGUCUUUAGGGAAGAAUCAAGAAAAUAAUAUAUAGCUUCCCCUUGUGCCCUAACUUUUCUCUAGUCAGAGGGGAAAAAAAGUUAGGAAAUCCCUUGAAAAAUUCACUCGCAGGCAACUGGUACUUUGAAAGUUCGUCCAUCAACAGCAGACACAGGCAUGUCCUCAUUAGGCCACUAAAUAAAAGCCAUUCCCAAGACACAGCUCUCAAAAGAGGACUCUCAUGUCUGCUUAUUUGGGGUGUCCUCCAGACCUCCCAUCAUCCCUUUAUUUUCAGCUAGAGACAUCACACAAAUCUUAGCAAGAGAGUAAACGCAAAGAAAAACAUUCCACUGUACCUCAAUAGAGUAUCCUAAGGGUAGUAUUGUCUUGGAAGUUUGUUUUAUUUUGUUCAAGUGUAGUUGAUUUACAAUGUUCUGUCCAUUUCAGCUGUAGAGCAGUGUCCCAGGUCCACAGUAUAUACAUACACAUUCUUUUUCUAUUAGCUUCCCCCUCAUGCUCUAUCCCAAGUGAUUGGGUAUAGUUCCCUGUGCUGUACAGCUGGACCUCGCUGCUGAUCCAUCCUAAACGUCACAGCUAUCUACACAACAGAAAGGGACUCACAGACAUGGAGAACAGACUUGUGGUUGCCAAGGGGAAGGGGGCAUGGGGCAGAGAUGGACUGAGAGUUUGGGAUUAGGAGAUGUCUUUUUUUCUUUGUAUUUUUGCUUUUUAGGGCUGCACCUGCGGCAUAUGGAGGUUCCCAGGCCAGGUAUCAAAUCGGAGCUGUAGCUGCUGGCCUGCACCACAGUCACAGCAAUGCAGGAUCCGAUCCUGAUCUGCAACCUACACCACAGCUCAUGGCAACGCCAAAGCCUUAACUCACUGAGCAAGGCCAGGGAUCGAACCUGCAUCCUCCUGGAUUCAUUAACCACUGAGGGAGGUCGGAAAGUCCUAGAUGUCUUUUCAAGUUUGCCAAAAGGAUGGUGGGACACAGAAAAGGAUACGCAGCUCACACGCAACAUAACCUUUAAAAAUGAAUAAAGUAAUUAAAAUCCCCACUAUUAACACGUCUAAAAAUAGGUUCCAAAUCCAUUUGGCAUGGUAGUGAAUAAGAUCAUUCUGACUUCGGCAAAACUCUUUGAGAGCAACAAUGUUACACGGUUCCAUUACACCAAACAAAACUACCAGCUCGGCCUUUUAAUUGGGCAAGAAGAGAAAGCACCCACAUGUUCAGAAGAGCCCAGGAUUUCAUGUUAUCAUUUCCUGCAAGAAAUUAGCUACCUGCCCUACCAUAAAUAUUAAGAGGAAUCCUUCAGAGUGAAAUUAAAAGAUACUAGAGAGCCACUCAAAUUCAUCCAAAGAAAUAAAAAUCCCUAAUAAAGUGACUAAAUAUAGGUAAAUAUUAAAAAAAAAAAGAAAAGAAAGAAAUUAGCUUCCCAGCCUUGAAAAGGAAAACAACUGGGGAUCUUGGUACACCUGCAGAGCAGGGAAAAUUCUCACUUCCCAACACAGAUGGGAAACAAACAGCCACAGAAUACUCUCAAAGAGCUCCAGACUGCCACCUUCUUCUUUUUNCGCUCCAGCGGCAUAGGGAGGUUCCCAGGCGAGGGCGGCGCUGGAAAAGGCAAAAAGACCAAAAAAAAAAAAGGGGGGGGGGGUACUCUACAAAACAGCUGUAACCUGGGGACGGGACGAAGAGGCCUGGAUUUUCGUCACUUAACUUCCCCAAGUCUCUGCUCCUUCAUCUGUAAAAUUAACGCGGCUUACGGCACUUGCAGCUCCCAACUUCUGCAAUUAGUUUCCUUCCUAGAUUGUUCUCUCAAAUCCAAUCUUCAAAAGCUCCACCUUCUUUUAACCUCCGUAUUGUUUUGGCUUUUGCCCUUGGGUGUCCAGAGGAAGAGUCUUUUGUGUAAAAGAGAGCCCCCAAUGGUUUCCAGGGGCCCGAGGGUUAAGGCAGGUCUCUCUGGGAGCAGGACGUGCACAAUCAAACUCAGACAGCAGCUGCUGAGUUGGAGCUAAUCCUAAAAGUCCUCCUCUUUCUCUCACAGUGAAACUGCCUGGCACCAGUCCUGUUCCGGCUGUUUGGACCUUAUGUUUUCGGCACAUGGCAAACCACAUCUUCAGUGGAUUCAACUCUCAAAAUGCCAAUGGAUUUCUCUGUUUUGCUUUUGCAAGCUGGCUCUCCAGAAGCAAAUACUUAAAAAACAUAAGCACGCACAGUGUCCACUGCCUGAUCGAUAGCUAAACAGCUUGGGAAUGAAAAAAAGAGAGACUCUUGGAAGGGCAAGGAGCUAGGUCUCCUUACAAAGGGAUUAUUAUUGUCCCUCUGUUCACUCUGACGACACUAUUUCAUGAAGCAACAAAAGCGAGGAAAAGAACAAAAAUCACCUAUUUAUGUAUUUUGCUUUUUAGGGCCACACCCACAGUAUAUGGAGGUUCCCAGGCUAGGGGUCGAAUCAGAGCUACAGCUGCCAGCCUAUGCCACAGCCACAGCAACACGGGAUCUGAGCCGUGUCUGUGACCUAAACCACAGCUCUCGGGCAAUGACGGAUCCUUAACCCACUGAGCGAGGCCAGGGAUCGAACCCUCAUCCUCAUGGAUAUUAGUCAGGUUCAUUACUUCCGAGCCACAACGGGAACUCCCCCCAAAUCACCUAUUUAGGAAUGGCUACGUUGACGGAUCCCAUACUAAUUCCUCAUACUGAUCAAGUAUUUCCACCAAAUCACAACCUUUCUCAAUGUCACUUCCACCAGCCUCUGAAGUGAAAGCAAUUCCACCUGGUUUUCCAGUAAAGAGAAUGUGACUAACAGCUAAACUUUGUAAAACGGGCUCUAUUUGUAGGUUCAAGAGAGCUUUUUAAAAGGUGUGCUUUUAAAAGUAAAAAGGUUGUCAUUGCAAGGUUUUCUUGGCAGGACGCUUCUAUCAACUCUACCUGGCAAAAGUCUUCUUGUUCCAGGAAGUCCUAUGAGAAAAAUGAAGAGGAUGUGUUAUGAGAAUCACUUAGUUGCAGAUAACAACUGUGGACCAUGUCAGUGGCCAGGAAAAAUUCUAAGAACCUAUCAAUUUGUUCAUAUAAUUAAUGUUACACUACUCCUUCUAAAAAUAACAUAAAUUAGUAUGUCUUUCACAUAGAAAAUGUAAGUUUAUUUAUAUACCUUGCUUUUUAGGGCCACACCUAUGGCAUAUGGAGGUUCCCAGGCUAGGGGUCCAAGCAGAACUACAGCUGCCGGCCUAUAUCACAGCCACAGCAAUGCAGGAUCCGAGCCGCAUCUGCGACCUACACCACAGCUCAUGGCAACGCCGGAUCCUUAACCCACUGAGCGAGGCAUGGGAUCGAACCCGAAAACUCAUGGUUCCUAGUCAGAUACAUUUCCACUGUGCCACAAUGGGAAUUCCAUAAAAUGUAAAUUUAGAUUUUUUUUUUUCUCCCCGAGGUAUCCAAGGCAAAGAGGUAUCUUUUAACAAUAUAUGAAAUCUAUUUUGCUGUUGCUUUAAAUUUUCCCAGAAUCCUGCUUUCAUUCAAAUCACUGUUCAAGAAUACACUUAAAAAAAAAAAAAAUACUUCCUUGCUAAAAACUAUUUAUCAUUUAGAAAGAUUUCUCCACGGUGGGGCAUGAAGAAACUAUGGAGAGGGAGUUCUCAUUGUGGCUCAACAGAAACAAACCCGACGCGUAUCCAUGAGGAUGAGGGUUCAACCUCUGGCCUCGCUCAGCAGGUUAAGGACCUGGCAUUGCCCUGAGCUGUGGUGUAGGUCGCAGAUGAGGCUUGGAUCCCAAGUUGCUUGUAGGCCAGCAGCUUCAGCUCCAGUUCCACCCCUAGCCUAGGAACUUGCAUAUGCUGCAGAGGCAGCCACAAAAAAAAAAAAAAAAAAACCAAAAAAGAAAAAGAAACCAUGGGGAGUAAACUCUACCAAUAAACUGGCUUGAUACUUUGGAAUUUGAAGACUUUACAAAAAGUGGGGGGGGGGAAUAAAUAACGUAUAAAGUCAGCUUCAUGAUCUGGGUCUACUAUCUAGGGAACUGGAAGAGUUCUUUUUAUCCCAAGGAAGUAAUGAAUGCCGCACUGGGGCUCAGCCUCCAUUCACAAGUGCUUAAAUGAAACUCCCUUCCCCUCCCCAAAAAGGCUCUCAUGGCCAACAGGCAGGGCCUGCAGGCUGGGACCUGGGACCCUUUGCUGCAAUGCUUGCACCUGGAUAAAUGCGUCCCCUUGAGCAACAAAAUACAAAAACAUUACAAGGGACGAAAAAUAACUGCAUGCAUGCACACUUGGGGCAAAUUAUGAGUAAGAAACAAAAAGACCAAAAACUCAUCUGUCACUUCUGAGAAGUCAGGUGCAAAAGCAAGGUACUAUUCAUGCACACGGCACCACCAAGGGGGUGGGCAGACCACCUAAGCCACCCCUUCGGCCUCCCCCGCUAGACCCACCCCUACCCUCACCGCAUAUAAAGAAUCAGCUUGCCCCACCUUGGGGGAGCAAGCAAAGAAAGCUUUCACUUGUUUUCACUCCCUUGUGCUGCAGUAGGAGCCCCAACAAAGCCUUGCCUGCAUUUCCUGCCUGGGCUCUUAUCAAUUUCUUUCUUUUUUUUAUAUAAUUCUUUUUUUUUUUUCCACUGUACAGCAUGGGGACCAAGUUACACUUGCACGCAUACAUUUUUUCCCCCACCAUUUGUUCUAUUGCAAUAUAAGUAUCUAUUGAUGAAGGUGAACAAGAACCCUGGCUGGUAACAGUCCUACUGCAGAGGGCCACACCUGAAGCCACAACCUCCCCAAAUAUGCUUGAUACAGGCUCCUGGGACUCACUGCAUCUGCUCAAGGGCUCUGCAGUGAGGUUGUUGGAUGGAGUUUGUUGAGUGUGGGCUGGUUUUGUGUGUGUGCUUUUAGGUGGAAGACAUUAAAAUCAAACCAUCCAAAGCACUGUAACAAAUUAGCAAGACAAGGCAGGCGCAGCACACUUCCUGACCAAAAAAAGCAGAUGGACUCCCUCCAAAUGUCCCACUGGAAGAUGCUGCCAGACUUCAGAUCAAGGAAAAAAAAAAAAUUUAGUGGAUUGAAACUAACAACUUAAGAGGUGAACCGUAUUACUCCUAAUUAUUAUCACGACUCUAUUCAUGCAUCAGCUGUGAACAAUUACAAGCCCGUAUUUCUAAAAUUCCCACAGACCCAAGAAUAAAAUUAAGACAUUUCUAAAAGAAGUUUCAGCUAUUUAUCCGUAAAUUAACUGCUCUCAAGAUAAGGCAGUCUAACUAUAUUCCCAAAGCAUACAAGUGUCACAGCAGAAUCUCCUGUUUCCCUUUUUCUAUGUCAUCCAUUUUAUCAUUAAGAAUUAAAAUAUCCAAGGAGCAUUAUGAGAGCACAUGACUAGGCUUUUUAUACCAUUUCAUGAAGAGAACUGGCCACGUCAAUCCCACCAUUUAUUUGCUUCCCAGUCUCUUCUUCAAUAAGAAAGUAUGAGAACAUUAGCAGGAUAUGUCUUUACUCCCUUGGGUAUGA
This 6415-nucleotide long non-coding RNA is filed under the name Sus scrofa (pig). RNAcentral describes it as "lncRNA (ENSSSCG00060072851.1)". Lineage: Eukaryota; Metazoa; Chordata; Mammalia; Artiodactyla; Suidae. The record is from RNAcentral.